UUUCCGUUGUAGCAAUACGAUGGAAAGUUUAGUGGCGAACGGGUGCUUAACACGUGGGCAACCUGCCAUGAAGUGGGGGAUAGCUCGCCGAAAGGCGAAUUAAUACCGCAUGUGAUUAGAGAGGACAUCCUUUCGAAAUUAAAGUCGGGGCAACCUGACGCUUCUUGUGGGGCCCGCGGCCUAUCAGCUAGUUGGUGAGGUAACGGCUCACCAAGGCUUUGACGGGUAGCUGGUCUGAGAGGACGACCAGCCACACUGGGACUGAGACACGGCCCAGACACCUACGGGUGGCAGCAGUCGAGAAUUUUUGACAAUGGGGGAAACCCUGAUCGAGCGACGCCGCGUGGAGGAUGAAGGUCUUCGGAUUGUAAACUCCUGUCAUUUGGGAACAAGGUGCACACGUUAACUGCGUGCGUAUUGAUAGUACCAGAAGAGGAAGGGACGGCUAACUCUGUGCCAGCAGCCGCGGUAAUACAGAGGUCUCAAGCGUUGUUCGGAUUCAUUGGGCGUAAAGGGUGCGUAGGCGGCGCGGUAAGUCGGGUGUGAAAUCUCGGAGCUUAACUCCGAAACUGCAUUCGAUACUGCCGUGCUUGAGGACUGGAGAGGAGACUGGAAUUUACGGUGUAGCGGUGAAAUGCGUAGAUAUCGUAAGGAAGACCAGUGGCGAAGGCGGGUCUCUGGACAGUUCCUGACGCUGAGGCACGAAGGCCAGGGGAGCAAACGGGAUUAGAUACCCCGGUAGUCCUGGCAGUAAACGGUGCACGUUUGGUGUGGGAGGAUUCGACCCCUUCUGCGCCGGAGCUAACGCGUUAAACGUG
Molecule: ribosomal RNA, 818 nt
Filed under: uncultured Verrucomicrobiota bacterium
Lineage: Bacteria; Pseudomonadati; Verrucomicrobiota
Description: bacterial SSU rRNA
Rfam family: Bacterial small subunit ribosomal RNA
Source: RNAcentral